RNAcentral lists this ribosomal RNA (259 nucleotides) under uncultured bacterium. RNAcentral's name for it is "partial 16S ribosomal RNA". It matches the Rfam family "Bacterial small subunit ribosomal RNA", at positions 524 to 776 of the family's 1533-position model. The record is from RNAcentral.
UACGUAGGGUGCAAGCGUUAAUCGGAAUUACUGGGCGUAAAGCGUGCGCAGGCGGUGAUGUAAGACAGGUGUGAAAUCCCCGGGCUUAACCUGGGAACUGCAUUUGUGUACUGCAUCGCUGGAGUGCGGCAGAGGGGGAUGGAAUUCCGGCGUGUAGCAGUGAAAUGCAUAGAUAUCGUCAAGAACACCGAUAGCGAAGGCAGCUUACUGGGCUGUAACUGACGCUUGAGUGCACGAAAAGUGUGGGGAGUCAAACAGG